RNAcentral lists this microRNA precursor (107 nucleotides) under Glycine max (soybean). Its description in RNAcentral is "MIR1520 microRNA precursor family". It matches the Rfam family "MIR1520 microRNA precursor family". Lineage: Eukaryota; Viridiplantae; Streptophyta; Magnoliopsida; Fabales; Fabaceae. The record is from Rfam by way of RNAcentral.
UUCUUAUUGGAUGAUAACUACCACGUGUUGGUCAAUGAAAGCAAUAAUGUAUUUCAUCUUUCAUGGAGUUGACAUCCAAUGAACAAGACACGUGACAGUUAUAAUUC